UUAAAUUGAAGAGUUUGAUCAUGGCUCAGAUUGAAUGCUGGCGGCAGGCCUAACACAUGCAAGUCGAACGGUAACAGGAAGCAGCUUGCUGCUU
This 94-nucleotide ribosomal RNA is filed under the name Escherichia coli. RNAcentral's name for it is "partial 16S ribosomal RNA". It matches the Rfam family "Bacterial small subunit ribosomal RNA", at positions 1 to 88 of the family's 1533-position model. The record is from RNAcentral. Lineage: Bacteria; Pseudomonadati; Pseudomonadota; Gammaproteobacteria; Enterobacterales; Enterobacteriaceae.